This 106-nucleotide microRNA precursor is filed under the name Canis lupus familiaris (dog). Its description in RNAcentral is "mir-8834 microRNA precursor family". It matches the Rfam family "mir-8834 microRNA precursor family". Lineage: Eukaryota; Metazoa; Chordata; Mammalia; Carnivora; Canidae. The record is from Rfam by way of RNAcentral.
AAGAGGAACAACCGCAGUGGCGGGGCCAUCUCUGGAGCCCUGGAGUCAGCUCCUGCAGUAACUACAGAGGUCUCAGUCUGCAGGGGCCUGGAUGCUCUGGGGGCAG